This 590-nucleotide ribosomal RNA is filed under the name uncultured bacterium. RNAcentral describes it as "partial 16S ribosomal RNA". It matches the Rfam family "Bacterial small subunit ribosomal RNA", at positions 355 to 1375 of the family's 1533-position model. The record is from RNAcentral.
UGGGGAAUUUUGGACAAUGGGCGAAAGCCUGAUCCAGCAAUGCCGCGUGUGUGAAGAAGGCCUUCGGGUUGUAAAGCACUUUUGUCCGGAAAGAAAUCCUUGGCUCUAAUACAGUCGGGGGAUGACGGUACCGGAAGAAUAAGCACCGGCUAACUACGUGCCAGCAGCCGCGGUAAUACGUAGGGUGCAAGCGUUAAUCGGAAUUACUGGCGUAAAGCGUGCGCAGGCGGUUUGCUAAGACCGAUGUGAAAUCCCCGGGCUCAACCUGGGAACUGCAUUGGUGACUGGCAGGCUAGAGUAUGGCAGAGGGGGGUAGAAUUCCACGUGUAGCAGUGAAAUGCGUAGAGAUGUGGAGGAAUACCGAUGGCGAAGGCAGCCCCCUGGGCCAAAUACUGACGCUCAUGCACGAAAAGCGUGGGGAGCAAAACAGGAUUAGAUACCCUGGUAGUCCACGCCCCUAAAACGAUGUCAACUAGUUGUUGGGGAUUCAUUUCCUUAGUAACGUAGCUAACGCGUGAAGUUGACCGCCUGGGGAGUACGGUCGCAAGAUUAAAAACUUAAAUGAAUUGACGGGGUCAUAGCUGUUUCCU